AAAGAAAUAAGCGCUGGAUGACAUGUGGCAGAUUUUCCAACUCUCCAGGAAAAACUUCAGAUCAACUUGUUUCUCUGGAAACUACUCACAUCCGGGGGCUGUCCCUGUCCCCUGGGACUCAUAAACGUUCCUAUCUUCAAGGCACAGUUACCUGAGCAAGUGAUCCUGAUAUGUAGGUGCUGUUGGCCUCCAGUCUCACACAUCAACUCACCAAUCAUGGAGAAGAAGUUAGAUGACUUCC
Molecule: long non-coding RNA, 241 nt
Filed under: Homo sapiens (human)
Lineage: Eukaryota; Metazoa; Chordata; Mammalia; Primates; Hominidae
Description: non-protein coding lnc-JAG1-15:1
Source: RNAcentral